CCUAGUCCCAAUUCAACGCAUUCACGCCUAACCCACAUCAGACAUCACCAUUUUCUCAAUUCAACAUUCUCUCUCUAUCUCUCUGUCGCCCAUCUCUCUCUCUAUUACCAUGGGUGAAUCUUGCUUUCCUAACAUCAAAACAUCACAAAUCUUUGCUUCUUCAGCGAUUCAUUUGCUCCAUCGAUAAAAAGGCACUCCUCAGAUCCAUCUGCGAUUUCUUCCGCCAACUUCCAUUUUAGCGAUUCAUUCUCCAUUUCUUCCGCCAGCUGCUAUACUACCGCGACGAAUUCGGCGACCGCGCUUACAUCCCCGGUCGAUCCGCAACGCUUACAUCGCUAUCUAGGCCUGGAAGCAGGUCAUCUCAGAUCCGGUGGCAGAAAUCUAGAUCCGGUGGCGGAGAGCUCAGAUCUGGUGGCAGAGAGCUCACGGAGGAUGGUCGCUGGCUUCUCUUCCAUUUCCGAUGCACAGAGCGCAGGAUGGGGUUGAAGAUAUUGAAAAGAGGAGAUACUGUAAUGAAUAUGGAUCCAAGAUUACAAAGAAGUCUAGCUUCCAUUGAGGCGGCGGCACAUCUAUGUGUUGCGCCUUCAAGAUCGGUAUUGUAUUUUUUUCACAGUAUUUGUUCUUUCAAAUACAAUACAAUUAUUUUUUUCACGAUUUUUGGCCCUUUUAAUUUGGUUUUGUUUGAAUUUAGUUUGUAAAAGAAUUGUUAAGACAUUAUAUUGUAUUGUAUUGUUUUUUCUUUAAUUUCUUUUUCAUUUGUAUAUUCAGAGUUGAUGAGUGUAUUAGUGUAUUGUAUA
Ipomoea nil (Japanese morning glory) is the source of this 797-nucleotide long non-coding RNA. RefSeq lists it as uncharacterized. The transcript has 2 exons. The record is from RefSeq and is a predicted model, not a curated record. Lineage: Eukaryota; Viridiplantae; Streptophyta; Magnoliopsida; Solanales; Convolvulaceae.